Molecule: ribosomal RNA, 388 nt
Filed under: uncultured bacterium
Lineage: Bacteria
Description: bacterial SSU rRNA
Rfam family: Bacterial small subunit ribosomal RNA
Source: RNAcentral
GACGACGCUGCGGCGUGCUUAACACAUGCAAGUCGAGCGGUAAGGCCCUUUCGGGGGUACACGAGCGGCGAACGGGUGAGUAACACGUGGGUGACCUGCCCUCAGCUCUGGGAUAAGCCUGGGAAACCGGGUCUAAUACCGGAUAUGACUCCAUGACGCAUGUUGUGGGGUGGAAAGCCUUGUGCGGCUGAGGAUGGGCCCGCGGCCUAUCAGCUUGUUGGUGGGGUGAUGGCCUACCAAGGCGACGACGGGUAGCCGGCCUGAGAGGGCGACCGGCCACACUGGGACUGAGACACGGCCCAGACUUCUACGGGAGGCAGCAGUGGGGAAUCUUGCGCAAUGGGCGAAAGCCUGACGCAGCGACGCCGCGUGAGGGAUGACGGCCUGG